GAAGCGGUGAAUUCAAGCCCCGGUAAACGGCGGUGGUAACUAUAACCAUCCUAAGGUAGCGAAAUUCCUUGUCGGGUAAGUUCCGACCUGCACGAAUGGCGUAACGACUUCCCCACUGUCUCGACCAGGAGCUCGGCGAAAUUGCAGUACGAGUAAAGAUGCUCGUUAAGCGCAGAAGGACGAAAAGACCCCGGGACCUUUACUAUACCUUGGUAUUGGCAUUCGGUGUGGAUUGUGUAGCAUAGGCGGGAGGCCGAGAGGCGCGGUCGCCAGAUCGCGCGGAGCCGUAAGGUGAAAUACCGCUCUGUUCGCAUUGGAUGUCUAACCUCGAACAGUCAUCCUGUUCAGGGACAGUGCCUGGCGGGUAGUUUAACUGGGGCGGUUGCCUCCCAAAGAGUAACGGAGGCGCCCAAAGGUCCGCUCAGCCCGGUUGGCAAUCGGGUGGCGAGUGCAAGUGCACAAGCGGGCUUGACUGCGAGGACGACGGUCCGAGCAGGGACGAAAGUCGGGACUAGUGAUCCGGUGCCGGUGUACGGACGCGGCAUCGCUCAACGGAUAAAAGGUACCCCGGGGAUAACAGGCUGAUCAUUCCCAAGAGUCCAUAUCGACGGGAUGGUUUGGCACCUCGAUGUCGGCUCGUCGCAUCCUGGGGCUGGAGCAGGUCCCAAGGGUUCGGCUGUUCGCCGAUUAAAGCGGCACGCGAGCUGGGUUCAGAACGUCGUGAGACAGUUUGGUCUCUAUCCUCUGCGCUCGUUGGAAUGCUGAGGAGGCCUGCCCAUAGUACGAGAGGACCUGGGUGGACGAACCUCUGGUAUGCCGGUUGUCACGCCAGUGGCACGGCCGGUUGGCUACGUUCGGAAGGGAUAACCGCUGAAAGCAUCUAAGCGGGAAGCCUGCUCCAAGAUAAGCAUUCCGUGGAACCUUCGAGUUCCUGUAGUCCCCAUGCAGAACACGUGGUCGAUAGGCCGGACGUGGAAGCCCCGCGAGGGGUGGAGCCGACCGGUACUAACGGACGAAAGGCAACACUAA
RNAcentral lists this ribosomal RNA (1029 nucleotides) under Bifidobacterium longum. Its description in RNAcentral is "bacterial LSU rRNA". It matches the Rfam family "Bacterial large subunit ribosomal RNA", at positions 1901 to 2925 of the family's 2925-position model. The record is from RNAcentral. Lineage: Bacteria; Bacillati; Actinomycetota; Actinomycetes; Bifidobacteriales; Bifidobacteriaceae.